AGAGUUUGAUCCUGGCUCAGAUUGAACGCUGGCGGCAUGCCUUACACAUGCAAGUCGAACGGCAGCACGGGAGCAAUCCUGGUGGCGAGUGGCGAACGGGUGAGUAAUAUAUCGGAACGUGCCCAGUCGUGGGGGAUAACGUAGCGAAAGCUACGCUAAUACCGCAUACGAUCUACGGAUGAAAGCGGGGGAUCGCAAGACCUCGCGCGAUUGGAGCGGCCGAUAUCAGAUUAGCUAGUUGGUGGGGUAAAAGCCCACCAAGGCGACGAUCUGUAGCUGGUCUGAGAGGACGACCAGCCACACUGGAACUGAGACACGGUCCAGACUCCUACGGGAGGCAGCAGUGGGGAAUUUUGGACAAUGGGCGAAAGCCUGAUCCAGCAAUGCCGCGUGCAGGACGAAGGCCUUCGGGUUGUAAACUGCUUUUGUACGGAACGAAACGGCCUCUUCUAAUACGGGGGGCUAAUGACGGUACCGUAAGAAUAAGCACCGGCUAACUACGUGCCAGCAGCCGCGGUAAUACGUAGGGUGCAAGCGUUAAUCGGAAUUACUGGGCGUAAAGCGUGCGCAGGCGGUUAUAUAAGACAGAUGUGAAAUCCCCGGGCUCAACCUGGGACCUGCAUUUGUGACUGUAUAGCUAGAGUACGGUAGAGGGGGAUGGAAUUCCGCGUGUAGCAGUGAAAUGCGUAGAUAUGCGGAGGAACACCGAUGGCGAAGGCAAUCCCCUGGACCUGUACUGACGCUCAUGCACGAAAGCGUGGGGAGCAAACAGGAUUAGAUACCCUGGUAG
This 790-nucleotide ribosomal RNA is filed under the name uncultured bacterium. RNAcentral describes it as "bacterial SSU rRNA". It matches the Rfam family "Bacterial small subunit ribosomal RNA", at positions 8 to 793 of the family's 1533-position model. The record is from RNAcentral.